UACGUAGGGACCGAGCGUUGUCCGGAAUCAUUGGGCGUAAAGAGCGUGUAGGCGGCCCCUUAAGUCCUGCGUGAAAUCCUGCGGCUCAACCGCAGACGGUCGUGGGAAACUGGAGGGCUAGAGUGCGGGAGAGGAGAGUGGAAUUCCCGGUGUAGCGGUGAAAUGCGCAGAUAUCGGGAAGAACACCCGUGGCGAAGGCGGCUCUCUGGAACGCAACUGACGCUGAGACGCGAAAGCGUGGGGAGCAAACAGGG
RNAcentral lists this ribosomal RNA (254 nucleotides) under uncultured bacterium. RNAcentral describes it as "partial 16S ribosomal RNA". It matches the Rfam family "Bacterial small subunit ribosomal RNA", at positions 524 to 777 of the family's 1533-position model. The record is from RNAcentral.